Molecule: long non-coding RNA, 239 nt
Filed under: Eucalyptus grandis
Lineage: Eukaryota; Viridiplantae; Streptophyta; Magnoliopsida; Myrtales; Myrtaceae
Description: long non-coding RNA (EGRA_LNC002668)
Source: RNAcentral
AGCUGUUUCUUUUUGGGGAUAGAUAGUCGACACUUAUGAUGGGGGUUGUUGCACGUGUGAUGUUGAGGGUCGAGGUUUCUUUUUGAGGUUUUAGGCUGGACGUGGCUGAGUCCUAGCUUUUCCUUUUUGAUGUACCGACCCAAAAGAAAUCCCAUCUUGAAAAUAUAUAUGUAAAUAAAGUGUCGUGGCUUGUUUAUAAAAUUAUGGUGAUUAGUGGUGUGUAUUUGUAUCAUGGUUGG